Molecule: unclassified non-coding RNA, 280 nt
Filed under: Hevea brasiliensis (rubber tree)
Lineage: Eukaryota; Viridiplantae; Streptophyta; Magnoliopsida; Malpighiales; Euphorbiaceae
Source: RNAcentral
GGAUUGGUCCUUAUUUUGUUCUUUUUUCUUAGCUAUUCUACAUCAGUUGAAGGCAGUAGUGGAAUGGAUCAAGGGCCGUGAUACAUGUGCCAGGUGUAAGAGUGAAACCUGUGCAUCUCCAGGGCUAUUACAACCAAGCUUGGUAACAUGUUACCAUGGAUUUUAUAGAACAAUUGCCAAGAUCCACCCACUUUAUAGCAUUACAUCAUCCUUUUUCCACUAAAGACAUUGCUAAACUAUUCUUAGACAAUAUAUUCAAGUUACAUGGAUUGGUCCUUAU